AAGCUUGCUUCUCUGAUGUUAGCGGCGGACGGGUGAGUAACACGUGGAUAACCUACCUAUAAGACUGGGAUAACUUCGGGAAACCGGAGCUAAUACCGGAUAAUAUUUUGAACCGCAUGGUUCAAAAGUGAAAGACGGUCUUGCUGUCACUUAUAGAUGGAUCCGCGCUGCAUUAGCUAGUUGGUAAGGUAACGGCUUACCAAGGCAACGAUGCAUAGCCGACCUGAGAGGGUGAUCGGCCACACUGGAACUGAGACACGGUCCAGACUCCUACGGGAGGCAGCAGUAGGGAAUCUUCCGCAAUGGGCGAAAGCCUGACGGAGCAACGCCGCGUGAGUGAUGAAGGUCUUCGGAUCGUAAAACUCUGUUAUUAGGGAAGAACAUAUGUGUAAGUAACUGUGCACAUCUUGACGGUACCUAAUCAGAAAGCCACGGCUAACUACGUGCCAGCAGCCGCGGUAAUACGUAGGUGGCAAGCGUUAUCCGGAAUUAUUGGGCGUAAAGCGCGCGUAGGCGGUUUUUUAAGUCUGAUGUGAAAGCCCACGGCUCAACCGUGGAGGGUCAUUGGAAACUGGAAAACUUGAGUGCAGAAGAGGAAAGUGGAAUUCCAUGUGUAGCGGUGAAAUGCGCAGAGAUAUGGAGGAACACCAGUGGCGAAGGCGACUUUCUGGUCUGUAACUGACGCUGAUGUGCGAAAGCGUGGGGAUCAAACAGGAUUAGAUACCCUGGUAGUCCACGCCGUAAACGAUGAGUGCUAAGUGUUAGGGGGUUUCCGCCCCUUAGUGCUGCAGCUAACGCAUUAAGCACUCCGCCUGGGGAGUACGACCGCAAGGUUGAAACUCAAAGGAAUUGACGGGGACCCGCACAAGCGGUGGAGCAUGUGGUUUAAUUCGAAGCAACGCGAAGAACCUUACCAAAUCUUGACAUCCUUUGACAACUCUAGAGAUAGAGCCUUCCCCUUCGGGGGACAAAGUGACAGGUGGUGCAUGGUUGUCGUCAGCUCGUGUCGUGAGAUGUUGGGUUAAGUCCCGCAACGAGCGCAACCCUUAAGCUUAGUUGCCAUCAUUAAGUUGGGCACUCUAAGUUGACUGCCGGUGACAAACCGGAGGAAGGUGGGGAUGACGUCAAAUCAUCAUGCCCCUUAUGAUUUGGGCUACACACGUGC
Molecule: ribosomal RNA, 1165 nt
Filed under: Staphylococcus aureus
Lineage: Bacteria; Bacillati; Bacillota; Bacilli; Caryophanales; Staphylococcaceae
Description: bacterial SSU rRNA
Rfam family: Bacterial small subunit ribosomal RNA
Source: RNAcentral